AAGACUAUACGUCACAGGGUCAUUUCUGUAGUCAGUCUUCAAUUACUUUCAUUGCAUGCAAGUAUAACUGUAUAAAAGCCACAGU
Non-coding RNA from Stomoxys calcitrans (stable fly), 85 nucleotides. The record is from Rfam. NCBI's taxonomy places the organism in Eukaryota, Metazoa, Arthropoda, Insecta, Diptera, Muscidae.